RNAcentral lists this long non-coding RNA (331 nucleotides) under Elaeis guineensis (African oil palm). Its description in RNAcentral is "long non-coding RNA (EGUI_LNC065570)". Lineage: Eukaryota; Viridiplantae; Streptophyta; Magnoliopsida; Arecales; Arecaceae. The record is from RNAcentral.
GGGGGAGGCAAGUUUAAAUAAGCAAUGAGAGCUGGUGCAAUAAUGACUGCAAGACUCCUCAGACCAGUCCGCGACCGCCGUGUGGCCCACUCACCAUGGCAAGCGGCUAGAGCUGGCCGACAAUUAGUAAAACCAUUAUGACACCGUACCUAGGACUGCAUUCUGAUUGGAAUUCCAAAAAGGAGAAGCCUUUUUCGAAAAGGCUCCAGUACCAGCGUACCGGGCGUCAAAAUAUCUGGCGAUCACUGAGUAUGAAAAUCGAGGAGAGCAGCUUCGAUCGUGAGAAAUUCUUUGUACUUCCUUCAUUCAGAACCCAAACUCAAAAGUAGGG